GACGUAGGGGGCCAGCGUUGUUCGGAAUUACUGGGCGUAAAGAGUGUGUAGGCGGCGCUCUAAGUUCGGUGUGAAAUCUCUCGGCUUAACUGGGAGGGUGCGCCGGAAACUGGAGUGCUCGAACGUGGGAGAGGAAAGCGGAAUUCCUGGUGUAGCGGUGAAAUGCGUAGAUAUCGUAAGGAAGACCAGUGGCGAAGGCGGGUCUCUGGACAGUUCCUGACGCUGAGGCACGAAGGCCAGGGGAGCAAACGGG
This 253-nucleotide ribosomal RNA is filed under the name uncultured bacterium. RNAcentral's name for it is "partial 16S ribosomal RNA". It matches the Rfam family "Bacterial small subunit ribosomal RNA", at positions 524 to 776 of the family's 1533-position model. The record is from RNAcentral.